GGCAAGACUGGGGGCAAACCUGUGCUGCUGCUGCUGCCAGGAUCCUACUGAGUUUGGGGAAAGGGAAGGAUUUGCUGUAUUGGUGACCAUGUGGUCAGAUACUGGAACUUGCAGCAUGUUUCUAAACUUGACAUUGUGAAACAAGGGCUCAGACCAGUUCACUGAGCCUUGUGAGACACAGGCACUGCCUGCACCAUGGGCUGAUAAACUGCAGCAUGUGACCUCAGUGUGCCCUAUCAUCCUCUGCUCCAGCCAUCCCUCUGCUCCACAGCCUUCCUCUGAGCCCAUUUUGCAUGUCUCUGUUUAGAUGAAUGCUGAUUUAUUGCAGCAAGCUGUUGAAGUUUUGAUUCAUCCUGCAGGUUCUUGUUCACUGAAAAUCACUUUUUAAGUUACUUGCCGAGAUCUUUAAUAAGGAAUUUCCACUUUUGUGACAAGAUCUGGUUUCAAAUGGGUUCUGGCACGUGGUGUUGAAUUGAAAAUAGCUGUAACUUGCUUACAGCAUUGUUAGAGUCUCCAGGGAUAAUGAUGCAACUAAAGCUUCUGCUCUGUUCACUUUGAAACUCUUGCUCUAUUGCUGGAGACUCUGCUCUGUGUGAUGGACAGUUGUAAUUAGUGACACUUUUGCAUGUUUGCUGUUUCUGAAAGAAAGCAAAUAGGGCCUAAAAUAAUUUUUACUUUGAAUAAGGAUUUCUUCCCCUGUAUGUCUUAAGUUUCCCACAGCCUGCUUCCUCAGCUCCACUGAAAGACACCAUGUUUUCUCAUGAUCUCCUGCUGGAUGUUUGGCUAAUUUGCUGAGACUUCUAUUUUGAAACAAAAGUGAUGUUGGUCUUCUGAAAAACAGGGAAUGUGUUACAUUUUCUAGUCUUUUUUGUGUCACCUUUCUCUCAACCACUUUAUUUCUGUGUUGUUGUAAAUUAUUAACUUUUGAACACAGAGAUAUUGUUGCCUCUAACUCUUCUCCUGCCCUUUGAGUUGCAGGGUUGCUUUUAUUGGCAGCAUGCACUGAGAAAUCAUGUUGGCCACUUACAGCCCUGAAAUUGUAAUAGUUUAUCCCAUUACAUGGUGAUUUUUUCCAGCUCGGUUCUCCUGAGAACCUUGAAAUGGGCUUUCCAUAAAAACAUUCCAGCCACUCUUUUUCUUUUAAAGGCUAUAGUCAAAUUUGAAGGGAUAAUCUGGCCAUUGUUUCUUGUGGUAUACAUGUUCUACCCUGAUGAUUUUGUAAAUUAUAGAGGAUUUUUAUUUUUAUAAUGCAGUCCGGGUCACUGAGAACUGGAGGAAUGAGCUUGCUCGUUCUUUGGCUGCAAGCAGACACACGUCAUUAGCAUCUUAACUGAUGGAAACUUUUCCGUGAAAAAUGCACACACUCUUAAUGCUUUUAAUCUGCACAAGCACUCCAUGAGUUUCCAAUAAGCUGUAAUAAAAGGUUUAGGUGUCUUAUACCUACAUUUCCUCAAUGGCUCACAGUACCAUCCUCAGGAAUGUAUUCCAAGUGCACUCUGCUUUGUGACUGGUUGUUUUGUCAUCUUCCUUUCUCUGUAGCUGUUGUGAGUAUUGUCUGAGAACCAGAACUGUUGAAUUUGGACUGACAGCACAGUAUGCUGCUACUUUCAAACUGCUUGGGCCCUCGUGUUCAUUAUGAUUCAGGAUGGCAAGUAUUUGUCAGGAAAGAACAAAUGAACUAGAACAAGAAUUCACUUGCAUUGAAUAAAUACGGCCUAAUUACACCUGGUGAAGCAGUGUCCUUUUGCUCGAGCGGGGAGUUGCCACACUGCUGCAAAGGCAAAACAUGGCCAGGAGAACAGAAAGGGUCAAGCAGAGCCAUGGAGUUCCUGGGACAAGCAGGAGCAGUGUGUGUACUUGUGACCCCAUUGUCUCCAUGUGCACACUUCCUGGGAUGUGGUGGUAGGGUUUGUCUGUGAUGAAUAAUUCAGGUGGUGACAUCAUGUCAGUAUAUGUCCUUCUCCUUCCUCAAUGCCUACUCAAGAAUUGUUGCUCAUGGUUCAAAAUAGCUAUAAGACAAUAAAUUCCAACCAAUUCUUGGUGAAAGAGGAAAUAGAAAUUAAAAAAAUUUCCUGUCCCAGACUGUGGCCUGUCAUCCUGUUGGGGUCUGUGAAGAUGAGGUGCAAUAUGUGACAACCUACACAUCCUGUAGGAGCAAAUCACACAUUCGGAGAUCUGCGGAGUUUCCAGGACAAUCCAGAUGGGUUCAUGAGAAAUGACGGGAGAAAAUAAAGGUAAUAUUGAUUGCUACAGAGCCUGAGCCUUCGGAUACUGCUAAUGAUUUGAGUAAGAUUGGAUUUGGAUUUGGCCCAAAAUACUUUUGGCUAGUGAAGAUUAUACUGUCUUCAGCUAGAGGGGCGGGUGUUGAAAUGGGAGUGC
Long non-coding RNA from Manacus vitellinus (golden-collared manakin), 2379 nucleotides. RefSeq lists it as uncharacterized. The record is from RefSeq and is a predicted model, not a curated record. NCBI's taxonomy places the organism in Eukaryota, Metazoa, Chordata, Aves, Passeriformes, Pipridae. The transcript is spliced from 3 exons.